UUAUUUUGGAGGUAUUUUCUUAAAAUCACACAAUAUGAGCUAUUGAUAAAAUCUUACAUGUAAUUAAGGAAUCUUGUGGCAUUUUUGAAGUAAUCCAUAAAUUUUAUAAGAGAUGAAACUAAGGUUCAGCUCUAUGAUUCUUUUGAUGCUAAUUGUUUUGACCAAGGAAAUUUAUUUCUACAUUCUAAACAAUAAAUUUCAAAGUCCAUAGCAUCCAUAUUCAUCUUCAUUUUCAAUAUGAAAACACAUUAUUUUUCUCUUCA
Quercus robur (English oak) is the source of this 263-nucleotide long non-coding RNA. RefSeq lists it as uncharacterized. The transcript is spliced from 2 exons. NCBI's taxonomy places the organism in Eukaryota, Viridiplantae, Streptophyta, Magnoliopsida, Fagales, Fagaceae. The record is from RefSeq and is a predicted model, not a curated record.